Molecule: long non-coding RNA, 756 nt
Filed under: Gallus gallus (chicken)
Lineage: Eukaryota; Metazoa; Chordata; Aves; Galliformes; Phasianidae
Source: RNAcentral
CACGUGUUGGCUUUGGCCUCGUUGUAUUGGCUGAUCCAGAAGCUGGGCUCCUUCUUCUGCAUCUUUGCCACAAAGCUCAGGAUGUCCUUCUUGGAAGUCUCCUUGGCAGCCCUCGGCCCCCACUGGAAGUUGAACUCGGGGGGGUCCGUCAGGGGGAUGGGGGUGAUCUCCAGGUACUUCUGCCUCACGAACUCCUCCAUCACCAGCUUCUUGACGUCUCCAAACACCUCGUGCUUCUCCCCUGGGUGCACCCGGAGCCGGCGCAGGAACUCCCAUACGGCACUGUCUUUGGCUGAGUUGCCCUUCAUGAAGAUGAAGCUGAGGAUGACGAUGAGGAGGCCCAGCUUGGCUGUCUGUAUAUCCUGUUUCAGGUUCUCCCCCUCGACACGGGGCAGGGUGCUGGUGAGGAUGUAGAUGUGGUGCUUGGUGUCAAUCUCCACCAUCUGCAACCCGAACACCUGCUGCAGGGUCCUGCCUGCCCGGUUGACAAUCUCUGAGUAAACAUCUUUGUAUUCACGGAUGACUUUUUUCAGGAUGUCUACUCUUUUAAUAGGGAUUUUCUUCUGGUCUUUCACAAGCAAGAACUGCACCAGCUCGGUCACCUUCCUAUUGAUCUCCUCCUGGGAGCGGCUCUCCAGGUUCCUCUGCACUUGGCUGGGGCUCUGCGUGGGGACCACGCUGAAAUCCUCAUCGUCGCCCUGGGUGAGGCCGGAGCCUCUGCUGCGCUUCCUCUGAGACAUCCCUCCCUCAGGCCGC